ACAGGGAUUGCCUCAGUAACGGCGAGUGAAGCGGCAACAGCUCAAAUUUGAAAUCUGGUCCCCUCUGGGGGCCCGAGUUGUAAUUUGAAGAGGAUGCUUUUGGCGAGGCGCCUUCCGAGUGCCCUGGAACGGGACGCCACAGAGGGUGAGAGCCCCGUAUGGUAGGACGCCGAGCCUCUGUAAAGCUCCUUCGACGAGUCGAGUAGUUUGGGAAUGCUGCUCAAAAUGGGAGGUAAACCCCUUCUAAAGCUAAAUAUUGGCCAGAGACCGAUAGCGCACAAGUAGAGUGAUCGAAAGAUGAAAAGCACUUUGAAAAGAGAGUUAAACAGCACGUGAAAUUGUUGAAAGGGAAGCGCUUGCGACCAGACUUGCGCCCGUCGGAUCAACCGUCCCUCGUGGGCGGCGCACUCCGGCGGGCUCAGGCCAGCAUCAGUUUUCCUGGGGGUAGAAAGGCGGUGGGAAUGUAGCUCUUCGGAGUGUUAUAGCCCGCCGUGUAAUGCCCUCGGGGGGACUGAGGACCGCGCGUAUGCAAGGAUGCUGGCGUAAUGGUCGUCAGCGACCCGUCUUGAAACACGGACCAAGGAGUCGUCCUAAUAUGCGAGUGUACGGGUGUAAAACCCCUGCGCGUAAUGAAAGUGAACGGAGGUGAGAGCUUCGGCGCAUCAUCGACCGAUCCUGAUGUUCUCGGAUGGAUUUGAGUAAGAGCAUAUUGGGCCGGACCCGAAAGAAGGUGAACUAUGCCUGUAUAGGGUGAAGCCAGAGGAAACUCUGGUGGAGGCUCGCAGCGGUUCUGACGUGCAAAUCGAUCGUCAAAUAUGGGCAUGGGGGCGAAAGACUAAUCGAACCU
RNAcentral lists this ribosomal RNA (847 nucleotides) under Cephalotrichum microsporum. RNAcentral's name for it is "eukaryotic LSU rRNA". It matches the Rfam family "Eukaryotic large subunit ribosomal RNA", at positions 68 to 942 of the family's 3401-position model. The record is from RNAcentral. RNAcentral also lists the same sequence under 5 other names. Lineage: Eukaryota; Fungi; Ascomycota; Sordariomycetes; Microascales; Microascaceae.